RNAcentral lists this ribosomal RNA (253 nucleotides) under uncultured bacterium. RNAcentral describes it as "partial 16S ribosomal RNA". It matches the Rfam family "Bacterial small subunit ribosomal RNA", at positions 524 to 776 of the family's 1533-position model. The record is from RNAcentral.
GACGUAGGGCGCGAGCGUUGUCCGGAUUUAUUGGGCGUAAAGAGCUCGUAGGCGGCUUGUCGCGUCGGCUGUGAAAACCCGCGGCUCAACUGUGGGCGGGCAGCUGAUACGGGCAGGCUGGAGUUCGGUAGGGGAGACUGGAAUUCCUGGUGUAGCGGUGAAAUGCGCAGAUAUCAGGAGGAACACCGGUGGCGAAGGCGGCAUUCUGGACCAACACUGACGCUGAGGAGCGAAAGCCAGGGGAGCAAACGGG